RNAcentral lists this transfer RNA (80 nucleotides) under bovine gut metagenome. It matches the Rfam family "tRNA", at positions 6 to 65 of the family's 71-position model. Rfam says of the family: Transfer RNA (tRNA) molecules are approximately 80 nucleotides in length. Their secondary structure includes four short double-helical elements and three loops (D, anti-codon, and T loops). The record is from RNAcentral.
CUGGUGGCGGAAUUGGUAGACGCGUCAGACUUAAAAUCUGAUGGCCGCAAGGCCGUGGGGGUUCGAGUCCCCCCCUGCCC